AUGAACGCUGGCGGCGUGCCUAAUACAUGCAAGUCGAGCGAACGGACGAGAAGCUUGCUUCUCUGAUGUUAGCGGCGGACGGGUGAGUAACACGUGGAUAACCUACCUAUAAGACUGGGAUAACUUCGGGAAACCGGAGCUAAUACCGGAUAAUAUUUUGAACCGCAUGGUUCAAAAGUGAAAGACGGUCUUGCUGGCACGUAUAGAUGGAUCUGCGCUGCAUUAGCUAGUUGGUAAGGUAACGGCUUACCAAGGCAACGAUGCAUAGACGACCUGAGAGGGUGAUCGGCCACACUGGAACUGAGACACGGUCCAGACUCCUACGGGAGGCCGCAGUAGGGAAUCUUCCGCAAUGGGCGAAAGCCUGACGGAGCAACGCCGCGUGAGUGAUGACGGUCUUCGGAUCGUAAAACUCUGUUAUUAGGGAAGAACAUAUGUGUAAGUAACUGUGCACAUCUUGACGGUACCUAAUCAGAAAGCCACGGCUAACUACGUG
RNAcentral lists this ribosomal RNA (496 nucleotides) under uncultured bacterium. Its description in RNAcentral is "partial 16S ribosomal RNA". It matches the Rfam family "Bacterial small subunit ribosomal RNA", at positions 29 to 507 of the family's 1533-position model. The record is from RNAcentral.